RNAcentral lists this ribosomal RNA (678 nucleotides) under Escherichia coli. Its description in RNAcentral is "bacterial SSU rRNA". It matches the Rfam family "Bacterial small subunit ribosomal RNA", at positions 91 to 765 of the family's 1533-position model. Lineage: Bacteria; Pseudomonadati; Pseudomonadota; Gammaproteobacteria; Enterobacterales; Enterobacteriaceae. The record is from RNAcentral.
ACGAGUGGCGGACGGGUGAGUAAUGUCUGGGAAACUGCCUGAUGGAGGGGGAUAACUACUGGAAACGGUAGCUAAUACCGCAUAACGUCGCAAGACCAAAGAGGGGGACCUUCGGGCCUCUUGCCAUCGGAUGUGCCCAGAUGGGAUUAGCUAGUAGGUGGGGUAAAGGCUCACCUAGGCGACGAUCCCUAGCUGGUCUGAGAGGAUGACCAGCCACACUGGAACUGAGACACGGUCCAGACUCCUACGGGAGGCAGCAGUGGGGAAUAUUGCACAAUGGGCGCAAGCCUGAUGCAGCCAUGCCGCGUGUAUGAAGAAGGCCUUCGGGUUGUAAAGUACUUUCAGCGGGGAGGAAGGGAGUAAAGUUAAUACCUUUGCUCAUUGACGUUACCCGCAGAAGAAGCACCGGCUAACUCCGUGCCAGCAGCCGCGGUAAUACGGAGGGUGCAAGCGUUAAUCGGAAUUACUGGGCGUAAAGCGCACGCAGGCGGUUUGUUAAGUCAGAUGUGAAAUCCCCGGGCUCAACCUGGGAACUGCAUCUGAUACUGGCAAGCUUGAGUCUCGUAGAGGGGGGUAGAAUUCCAGGUGUAGCGGUGAAAUGCGUAGAGAUCUGGAGGAAUACCGGUGGCGAAGGCGGCCCCCUGGACGAAGACUGACGCUCAGGUGCGAAAGCGUGGG